Small nuclear RNA from Ochotona princeps (American pika), 107 nucleotides. Its record names the gene U1. It matches the Rfam family "U1 spliceosomal RNA". From Rfam's summary of the family: U1 is a small nuclear RNA (snRNA) component of the spliceosome (involved in pre-mRNA splicing). Its 5' end forms complementary base pairs with the 5' splice junction, thus defining the 5' donor site of an intron. There are significant differences in sequence and secondary structure between metazoan and yeast U1 snRNAs, the latter being much longer (568 nucleotides as compared to 164 nucleotides in human). The record is from Ensembl. Lineage: Eukaryota; Metazoa; Chordata; Mammalia; Lagomorpha; Ochotonidae.
CAGGGAGGUGCCGUGAUCACAAGGGUGGUUUUCCCAGGAUGAUAUUUAUCCAUUGCACUCCAGAUAAGCUGACCCCUGUGAUUUCCCCAAAUGUGGGAAACUCAAUG